GUCGGCCUGCGCGGAAGAUGUAACGGGGCUAAACCAUGCACCGAAGCUGCGGCAGCGACACUGUGUGUUGUUGGGUAGGGGAGCGUUCUGUAAGCCUGUGAAGGUGUGUCGUGAGGCAUGCUGGAGGUAUCAGAAGUGCGAAUGCUGACAUAAGUAACGAUAAAGCGGGUGAAAAGCCCGCUCGCCGGAAGACCAAGGGUUCCUGUCCAACGUUAAUCGGGGCAGGGUGAGUCGACCCCUAAGGCGAGGCCGAAAGGCGUAGUCGAUGGGAAACGGGUUAAUAUUCCCGUACUUGGUGUUACUGCGAAGGGGGGACGGAGAAGGCUAUGUUGGCCGGGCGACGGUUGUCCCGGUUUAAGCGUGUAGGUGUGUGUUCCAGGUAAAUCCGGUUCACUUUAACACUGAGGCGUGACGACGAGGCACUACGGUGCUGAAGCAACAAAUGCCCUGCUUCCAGGAAAAGCCUCUAAGCAUCAGGUAACAUCAAAUCGUACCCCAAACCGACACAGGUGGUCAGGUAGAGAAUACCAAGGCGCUUGAGAGAACUCGGGUGAAGGAACUAGGCAAAAUGGUGCCGUAACUUCGGGAGAAGGCACGCUGACACGUAGGUGAAGUGAUUUACUCAUGGAGCUGAAGUCAGUCGAAGAUACCAGCUGGCUGCAACUGUUUAUUAAAAACACAGCACUGUGCAAACACGAAAGUGGACGUAUACGGUGUGACGCCUGCCCGGUGCCGGAAGGUUAAUUGAUGGGGUCAGCGCAAGCGAAGCUCCUGAUCGAAGCCCCGGUAAACGGCGGCCGUAACUAUAACGGUCCUAAGGUAGCGAAAUUCCUUGUCGGGUAAGUUCCGACCUGCACGAAUGGCGUAAUGAUGGCCAGGCUGUCUCCACCCGAGACUCAGUGAAAUUGAACUCGCUGUGAAGAUGCAGUGUACCCGCGGCAAGACGGAAAGACCCCGUGAACCUUUACUAUAGCUUGACACUGAACAUUGAGCCUUGAUGUGUAGGAUAGGUGGGAGGCUUUGAAGUGUGGACGCCAGUCUGCAUGGAGCCGACCUUGAAAUACCACCCUUUAAUGUUUGAUGUUCUAACGUGGACCCGUUACCCGGGUUGCGGACAGUGUCUGGUGGGUAGUUUGACUGGGGCGGUCUCCUCC
RNAcentral lists this ribosomal RNA (1154 nucleotides) under Salmonella enterica. Its description in RNAcentral is "partial 23S ribosomal RNA". It matches the Rfam family "Bacterial large subunit ribosomal RNA", at positions 1153 to 2290 of the family's 2925-position model. The record is from RNAcentral. Lineage: Bacteria; Pseudomonadati; Pseudomonadota; Gammaproteobacteria; Enterobacterales; Enterobacteriaceae. RNAcentral also lists the same sequence under 1 other name.